This 773-nucleotide long non-coding RNA is filed under the name Bos mutus (wild yak). Its description in RNAcentral is "lncRNA (ENSBMUG00000019643.1)". The record is from RNAcentral. Lineage: Eukaryota; Metazoa; Chordata; Mammalia; Artiodactyla; Bovidae.
AUGGCUUUUCUCUUGCAGAUGGGUCUGUGUGCACAGAGGUUCCAUGGGAGGCAUCUUCAUGCCAGCCAGCCGCUAGGCCCUGGGGCCCCAGAUGUGUUCGGUGGAGGCAGAAACCCUCUACCAGUGCCCUCGCUUAAUACACUCCGAAGAUGCAACAUGGCACCCCAGGAGGUGUGUCUAGCUCCCAGAUCAAGGUCAGCCUUAGAUCUGGAGGUGGCUGAGGAGGUCCCAAGUUCCUGAGUCAGUGACCUUGGGGUCACCUGGGAUCUGGAAUGGCUGGUAUUUCUCCCUGAGGUGGGAACCGAGCCAGCUGGGAACCCACCAACCCCCUGCGGGUUGGCUGGUGAGUUAAUGCCUCGGGCUGGGAACCGCCCCCUGGAGGGUUGGCUGGUUUAAGUCUACGCAGAUGGGAACUCCCAGCCAUUGGUCUUGCCUGUCCUUUCCUGAAGGUCCCUAUUGUUUGUGGGCACCAAUGGAGCAGAGCGUGGAGAGUGCCGUUCCCACGUGAAGAGCUGCCCGCCAUCUGCCCACAGUGUCACGGGAGCCGUGUUCACUCAGCACUAGAGAUCCGGGGCAAAGCUGUGGGACUGGCGGCCUGGAUCCCCUUCAGCCGCUCUGACUCCUGACAGCGGUGCCCUCGGAGGGCGUAGACCGAGAAGGCUGGCCCAGUCCCUCGGUGACUUCAGUGAACAAGAGUUUUUCUGUUGAGUUGGCAGCUGUUUAUGAUUUUUCUCUCCACCUGCCCAUUCAAUAAACUGUAUUCACCCACCUCA